Molecule: ribosomal RNA, 466 nt
Filed under: uncultured bacterium
Lineage: Bacteria
Description: partial 16S ribosomal RNA
Rfam family: Bacterial small subunit ribosomal RNA
Source: RNAcentral
GAUGAACGCUGGCGGCGUGCUUAACACAUGCAAGUCGAACGAUGAAGCCCAGCUUGCUGGGUGGAUUAGUGGCGAACGGGUGAGUAACACGUGAGUAACCUGCCCUUAACUCUGGGAUAAGCCUGGGAAACUGGGUCUAAUACCGGAUAGGAGCGUCCACCGCAUGGUGGGUGUUGGAAAGAUUUAUCGGUUUUGGAUGGACUCGCGGCCUAUCAGCUUGUUGGUGAGGUAAUGGCUCACCAAGGCGACGACGGGUAGCCGGCCUGAGAGGGUGACCGGCCACACUGGGACUGAGACACGGCCCAGACUCCUACGGGAGGCAGCAGUGGGGAAUAUUGCACAAUGGGCGAAAGCCUGAUGCAGCGACGCCGCGUGAGGGAUGACGGCCUUCGGGUUGUAAACCUCUUUCAGUAGGGAAGAAGCGAAAGUGACGGUACCUGUAGAAGAAGCACCGGCUAACUACGUG